This is a long non-coding RNA of Diospyros lotus (date-plum), 1394 nucleotides long. RefSeq lists it as uncharacterized. The transcript is spliced from 3 exons. The record is from RefSeq and is a predicted model, not a curated record. NCBI's taxonomy places the organism in Eukaryota, Viridiplantae, Streptophyta, Magnoliopsida, Ericales, Ebenaceae.
CCCCAUUCCCAAUGGUGCCUUAAAACCAUAAGUGGCGUAAAAGGGUGAAGAUGUUCCUUUCUGGUAACGGUACACCAAAAGAUGGCGUAAUUCUUUGAGCUUUCGGAUUUCAACAGGCAAUUCAGUCACGUCAGCAUGCUUGAGAUCCAAUGUCUCCAGCUGUGCACCCUGCAAAUCUAAUACUUUUAGCAGCCUGAGACUUCCGGCAAGCAAUCUAGAGAUGCGUGAUUUAGGUGGCAGAUCUCUUACCCCGAACAUGAACAGAGAACGAAGUUGGGAGUCCUUCCUGCUUUCUUUCACUUCUCUACACGUUCCAUGAAUUGACAAGCGCCGGAGUUUUUCAGGCCAGGGUGCAUUGUUUUUAUUGGCUAUCGCUACAAAAUUUAGUUCUCCAGACUUUGAAAGAGCAAUUUCUCGCAGAAGGUCAUGGACUCGGCAUGCGCUAACCCUUCCAUUUCUAGUUGUUUUGGCUAUUUGGACUAGGCUUCUAUCAACAAGCUCAUUGAGGGAAAAUGCUCAAGUAUAGGAAACACACUUUCAAGUAACUUGGCAAAUGAUCAUAACUGAGCAACAGUACUUGCUUCAUACUCUCGAGCUUUCUGUUUCCUUCGAUAUGAGCACCAAGGCUGCGGUUAACUUUCUCCCAUUCAUCUAUUUUACCCUUCUCUUUAGUUGACAGAAGGCCCCCAAUUGCCACAAUUGCAAGCGGCAAGCCUUCACAUCUUCCUAGGAUUUCUCGAGAAAGUUUCUCCAAGUGUGGAGGACUAGAGUCUGCUCUGAAUGCCUUUCUGCAAAAUAAUUUCCAAGACAAAUCCUCAGUCAAGGGUUUCAGAUUAUAUAUCUGAUCAUCAAAUCUUGUGCAGGCAGUCCGAGCUAUAUCAGCAUGUCGGGUUGUGACCAUCACUCGGCUCCCAAAUUGAGAGUUAGGGAAUGCAUAUGUUAGAGCUUCCCAUGCCUCUAUACCCCAUAUAUCAUCCAAAACAAUUACAUACCUCUUUUGAUUCAGGAAUUCGUUGAUUUUCAUUUUCAGGCCUUCUAUUUUCAUGGUCUUAACUUCUUGGGGGAUUCGUUGCUUGAUUUGUUCAAACAGUUGCUGAAUUAUGUCUUUCAGGAUCUCUUUAAUCAUGAAUGACUCUGUAACUGUGAUCCAAGCUUGGAUCUGGAAAUGGCUUUUCACUAUUGCAUCAUCGUAAACCUUUUUUACCAGGGUGGUUUUCCCUGUCCCCCCCAUUCCAACCACUGAGAUUACCCUGAGUCCAGGCUCACCCUUCAAAAGGUACUCAAUCAGCUGCCCCUUGGGCUUGUCUAUUCCUACUAACCCAGCUUCCUCUACAAGAAGAGCAUCCACUCGGCAAUCGUGCCACGAUCUGCUGUUAGAAUUAAAGGUGGAUGAG